ACACCCAUCAAGCCUGGCUUGGUAUUGGGCGACGGGACCUCCCCGCGCCCCGAUUUCGCCGGCUGGACGUAUUCCGAUCUCAGGCGCUGUAAUAAGCCUUCGCUGGAGUGACGGACGGCGACGCCGUUAACCUUUUAAUCAA
Molecule: unclassified non-coding RNA, 142 nt
Filed under: uncultured Devriesia
Lineage: Eukaryota; Fungi; Ascomycota; Dothideomycetes; Mycosphaerellales; Teratosphaeriaceae
Description: sequence contains ITS2
Source: RNAcentral